AUUUAAACGUACUAAUGAUCAUAAGUGAUAUUUCAACAUCUGCUAUAUUGUGGUAUGAAAAUACCUGUGAUUCUAUUAAUGGCAAAGCCCAAAAUUCCCACUGAUACUAUUGGGAUUUGUUGGCAACAUUUAUCAUCAAAGGAAAUGCAACUUUUCAGGUCCAGGUUUAUGAAAAUCAAGAUGUAACUUUCCUAUCCAUGCUUGUGGUCCCCAGGGUCAGUGCUCUUGAAUUCAAGGCAGGGAGGAGAUAUUGGAUAGGAGAUUGAUAAAAUAGGACAAUAGCCGGGCAUGGUCAUGCAUGUCUGUAAUCCCAGCGGCCUGGGAGGCUGAGGCAGGAGGAUCAUGAGUUCAAAGCCAGCCUCAGCAAGGGCGAGGUGCUAAGCAACUCAGUGAGACCUGUCUCUAAAUAAAAUACAAAAAAGAGCUGGGGUGUGGCUCAGUGGUCAAGUGCCCCUGAGUUCAAUCCCCUGUGCCAGAAAAAAAAAAAAAACUAAGAAGAAGACCUGUGGCAGGAACAGAGCAGAGUUUGUCUUGGUCCCUCCUGGCCUGGAUGGAAAUCCCUCUGCAGGGACCUGUGGUAACAUCCGGCCGAAGCAAUAAGCCAUCAUUAAACCUUCAGGCAACUCUCCUCAGGCACAGCCUUGUGUCCUGAAGUUGUACAGCUACUAUUGAUCCCCCUCUUUGGCAGGCAUGGGGAACACAACAAAGCGGACAUGGCCAUGCUGUCAUGGCGCUUACUCUCUAGUGGAAGAAAAGGGUCCAACAAACGGAAGCAGACAUCAUAUCCCCACCUGGGCUGCAAGCAGGAAAGCAGUGGUGCUGUUCAAGGCACAUGUUGGCCGGAGAUAGGGGAGGCCUCUGAGGAAGCCACACUCAGGGGGGGUCAGGGAAAGAAGGUGAAGGUCAGCUUUCCUUGGUGCUUUAGAGGAGCUGAAAGGAAAACAGGGGAGCUAGAACAGAGAGAGGUGGGCGAAAAGUGGGGAGAGGUGGGUAGGCCUAAGACUGCAAGGUCAUCCCAUCCUCAGGAUUUGGGAUGUUCUGAGUACAGGGGGAAACUGUUGACGCUUUCA
RNAcentral lists this long non-coding RNA (1070 nucleotides) under Marmota monax (woodchuck). The record is from RNAcentral. Lineage: Eukaryota; Metazoa; Chordata; Mammalia; Rodentia; Sciuridae.